AGAGCGAACGCUGGCGGCAUGCUUAACACAUGCAAGUCGCACGGGCAGGGGAAACCCUGUCAGUGGCGGACGGGUGAGUAACGCGUAGGUAUCUAUCCUUGGGUGGGGGAUAACGGUUGGAAACGACUGCUAAUACCGCAUUAUAACUGAGGUUUAAAGGCGCAAGUCGCCUGGGGAGGAGCCUGCGUACGAUUAGCUUGUUGGUGGGGUAAAGGCCUACCAAGGCGACGAUCGUUAGCUGGUCUGAGAGGAUGAUCAGCCACAUUGGGACUGAGACACGGCCCAAACUCCUACGGGAGGCAGCAGUGGGGAAUAUUGGACAAUGGGCGAAAGCCUGAUCCAGCAAUGCCGCGUGUGUGAAGAAGGUCUUCGGAUUGUAAAGCACUUUCGACAGGGACGAUGAUGACGGUACCUGUAGAAGAAGCCCGGCUAACUCGCGCCAGCAGCCGC
Molecule: ribosomal RNA, 450 nt
Filed under: uncultured bacterium
Lineage: Bacteria
Description: SSU rRNA
Rfam family: Bacterial small subunit ribosomal RNA
Source: RNAcentral